GAUGAAGAACGCAGCAAAAUGCGAUAAGUAAUGUGAAUUGCAGAAUUCAGUGAAUCAUCGAAUCUUUGAACGCACAUUGCGCCCGCCAGUAUUCUGGCGGGCAUGCCUGUCCGAGCGUCAUUUCAACCCUCAAGCACAGCUUGGUGUUGGGACUCGCGUUAAUUCGCGUUCCCCAAAUUGAUUGGCGGUCACGUCGAGCUUCCAUAGCGUAGUAGUAAAACCCUCGUUACUGGUAAUCGUCGCGGCCACGCCGUUAAACCCCAACUUCUGAAUGUUGACCUCGGAUCAUGUAGGAAUACCCGCUGAACUUAAGCAUAUCAAUAAGCGGAGGA
RNAcentral lists this unclassified non-coding RNA (332 nucleotides) under soil metagenome. Its description in RNAcentral is "partial contains 5.8S ribosomal RNA, internal transcribed spacer 2, and large subunit ribosomal RNA". The stretch from base 1 to 120 matches the Rfam family "5.8S ribosomal RNA", at positions 35 to 154 of the family's 154-position model. The record is from RNAcentral.